UGGGGAAUAUUGGACAAUGGGCGCAAGCCUGAUCCAGCCAUGCCGCGUGAGUGAUGAAGGCCUUAGGGUUGUAAAGCUCUUUUAUCCGGGACGAUAAUGACGGUACCGGAGGAAUAAGCCCCGGCUAACUUCGUGCCAGCAGCCGCGGUAAUACGAAGGGGGCUAGCGUUGCUCGGAAUCACUGGGCGUAAAGGGCGCGUAGGCGGCGUUUUAAGUUGGGGGUGAAAGCCUGUGGCUCAACCACAGAAUUGCCUUCGAUACUGGGACGCUUGAGUGUGGUAGAGGUUGGUGGAACUGCGAGUGUAGAGGUGAAAUUCGUAGAUAUUCGCAAGAACACCGGUGGCGAAGGCGGCCAACUGGACCAUCACUGACGCUGAGGCGCGAAAGCGUGGGGAGCAAACAGGAUUAGAUACCCUGGUAGUCCACGCUGUAAACGAUGAAUGCCAGCCGUUGGGGGGCUUGCCUUUCAGUGGCGCAGCUAACGCUUUGAGCAUUCCG
Molecule: ribosomal RNA, 498 nt
Filed under: uncultured Pseudomonadota bacterium
Lineage: Bacteria; Pseudomonadati; Pseudomonadota
Description: bacterial SSU rRNA
Rfam family: Bacterial small subunit ribosomal RNA
Source: RNAcentral